GUAAAUUCUUUGAAAAUUAUUAAGUGUCAUAAAUAAAGUCUCAUAAUAGUGUGAAAAUAACACAAGAAAAAAGAUUUAUAAUGUGUACAAUUCCAACGAAGAAAACAAUUGGUUAUUUUAAACUAUUCGCUUUGUUCUCAAAUUAAAAAAAAUCUAAAAACCUUUUACUUUACAAAUAUGCCUCCUAUUACACGAAGCAAUUUAGGUAGAAGAACCCGAAUUGCUGCAAACCAAGCUAAUUACAAAUCUUAUAAUGCGGCACAAGAACGUGACGUAAAAAAUCUUUGUAGGCUUUAGACAGAACCUUAAAGGAUCUACGAAGCAAUCACAACCAUUUUGGCAGUGAUUUCACGAUCAACACCAGCUGAUGAACUCAAUGCAUGUCUAAAGUCCUCCAAUUCGAGGAAACAUGCCAAAGUACUUAAUUUAAGCAAGAAUAUGCGCGUCGAGUUGUUAAAUCACCAGUCUAGAAACAUAUUCUCUAAACAACUCAUUGACAUUGCUUUUGUCAGUUAACUCGAUCAAAAGAUGAACUUAUUCAAAAGGUGUUUCCAGAUGUUUCUCUAAAUUACAGAAAUCAUGAUUGGUUGAGCGAACGAGCUAUAUUAGCUGCAAUCAACAUAGAUGUAAAUGAAUUAAAUUUAAAAAUUCAAGAACAAAUUACAGUGAACUAUCCACCAGAAUUUUUAAACUCGUUGGAUUUGCCACCUCACAAUCUUCAAUUAAAGGUUGGAUCGGUAGUUUUAAUGUUGCGAAAUAUCCAACCAACCAAUUCUUUGCAACGGCACACGGUUAGCGAUAAAAAAAAAUUACUAAACAACGUGAUAGAAGCAACUAUCCUAAAAGCAAAGUAUUAAGGAGAAGACGUUUUCAUACCGCGCAUC
This 884-nucleotide long non-coding RNA is filed under the name Bactrocera latifrons. RNAcentral describes it as "uncharacterized LOC108974695, transcript variant X2". Lineage: Eukaryota; Metazoa; Arthropoda; Insecta; Diptera; Tephritidae. The record is from RNAcentral.